AUCAAUUCAAACUGGACCAAAUUAUAUAUAUCUCUUCAACUACUCAUCUGUCACAAUCAGUACGGAGCCUUGAGUUUGAGAUGCAAAAACCAAGGCAAGACCUUGCCUUUGCUCAUGUUUGUCAAAGCAGACCAUGUAGUCCACUAAAAAUGAAUUGAAAGUCAUCCCAGGCGUCAUUCCCUUUGCUUUGGCAGCUUCUGGGACUUCUUCAACUUUUAGGCUUCUUUGUCUUUGGCUCGUGUUGCUUUUGGGUUCUUCAACAAUCGCAACACAAGAGGCUUAUUGACUCACAUCAUUUGAGAGGGCCAUCAUACUGCCCAUUGAGGUGCUGGUUUUGCUUUGUCUUAGUUGCUUCAUGUUUUGCCAACAACAAAGUGAGAACCUUUUGCAAUUUGCUGCAGAGGAGUGCUGGCUUAGUAAUUUUCGUGAGCUGUCUGACUUGGGAUUUUUCUUUGUUGAUUAAUUUUGAAGCACAGAAAGUGGGUUUGAAUCAUCAGCUUUUCACGUUUUGCUACCUGUUCUUUCUCCAAUCUGCAGAUUUAGAAUUUUGCUCUGCUGAAGCAGUUUGGUGCUUUGUUUCUCUUCUUGUGGAUUUCUGCAGCAAUUUGGUAC
Prunus dulcis (almond) is the source of this 612-nucleotide long non-coding RNA. RefSeq lists it as uncharacterized. The transcript has 5 exons. Lineage: Eukaryota; Viridiplantae; Streptophyta; Magnoliopsida; Rosales; Rosaceae. The record is from RefSeq and is a predicted model, not a curated record.